CCUACGGGUGGCAGCAGUAGGGAAUAUUGCUCAAUGGGGGAAACCCUGAAGCAGCAACGCCGCGUGGAGGAUGAAGGUUUUCGGAUUGUAAACUCCUUUUGUUAGAGAAGAUAAUGACGGUAUCUAACGAAUAAGCACCGGCUAACUACGUUCCAGCAGCCGCGGUAAUACGGAGGGUGCAGGCGUUACUCGGAUUUACUGGGAGUAAAGAGCGCGUAGGCGGGAUAGCAAGUCAGCUGUGAAAUCCUAUGGCUUAACCAUAGAACUGCAUUUGAAACUGUUAUUCUAGAGUAUGGGAGAGGUAUGUGGAAUUCUUGGUGUAGGGGUGAAAUCCGUAGAGAUCAAGAAGAAUACUGAUUGCGAAGGCGACCUGCUAGAACAUAACUGACGCUGAUGCGCGAAAGCGUGGGGAGCAAACAGGAUUAGAUACCCGGGUAGUC
This 440-nucleotide ribosomal RNA is filed under the name uncultured bacterium. RNAcentral describes it as "partial 16S ribosomal RNA". It matches the Rfam family "Bacterial small subunit ribosomal RNA", at positions 338 to 795 of the family's 1533-position model. The record is from RNAcentral.